This 2902-nucleotide ribosomal RNA is filed under the name Klebsiella pneumoniae. RNAcentral describes it as "23S ribosomal RNA". It matches the Rfam family "Bacterial large subunit ribosomal RNA". Lineage: Bacteria; Pseudomonadati; Pseudomonadota; Gammaproteobacteria; Enterobacterales; Enterobacteriaceae. The record is from RNAcentral.
GGUUAAGCGACUAAGCGUACACGGUGGAUGCCCUGGCAGUCAGAGGCGAUGAAGGACGUGCUAAUCUGCGAAAAGCGUCGGUAAGGUGAUAUGAACCGUUACAGCCGGCGAUGUCCGAAUGGGGAAACCCAGUGCAAUUCGUUGCACUAUCGUUAACUGAAUACAUAGGUUAACGAGGCGAACCGGGGGAACUGAAACAUCUAAGUACCCCGAGGAAAAGAAAUCAACCGAGAUUCCCCCAGUAGCGGCGAGCGAACGGGGAGCAGCCCAGAGUCUGAAUCAGCUUGUGUGUUAGUGGAACGGUCUGGAAAGUCCGACGGUACAGGGUGAUAGUCCCGUACACCAAAAUGCACAGGCUGUGAACUCGAAGAGUAGGGCGGGACACGUGGUAUCCUGUCUGAAUAUGGGGGGACCAUCCUCCAAGGCUAAAUACUCCUGACUGACCGAUAGUGAACCAGUACCGUGAGGGAAAGGCGAAAAGAACCCCGGCGAGGGGAGUGAAAAAGAACCUGAAACCGUGUACGUACAAGCAGUGGGAGCACCUUCGGGUGUGACUGCGUACCUUUUGUAUAAUGGGUCAGCGACUUAUAUUCUGUAGCAAGGUUAACCGUAUAGGGGAGCCGCAGGGAAACCGAGUCUUAACUGGGCGUUAAGUUGCAGGGUAUAGACCCGAAACCCGGUGAUCUAGCCAUGGGCAGGUUGAAGGUUGGGUAACACUAACUGGAGGACCGAACCGACUAAUGUUGAAAAAUUAGCGGAUGACUUGUGGCUGGGGGUGAAAGGCCAAUCAAACCGGGAGAUAGCUGGUUCUCCCCGAAAGCUAUUUAGGUAGCGCCUCGUGAACUCAUCUUCGGGGGUAGAGCACUGUUUCGGCUAGGGGGUCAUCCCGACUUACCAACCCGAUGCAAACUACGAAUACCGAAGAAUGUUAUCACGGGAGACACACGGCGGGUGCUAACGUCCGUCGUGAAGAGGGAAACAACCCAGACCGCCAGCUAAGGUCCCAAAGUCAUGGUUAAGUGGGAAACGAUGUGGGAAGGCACAGACAGCCAGGAUGUUGGCUUAGAAGCAGCCAUCAUUUAAAGAAAGCGUAAUAGCUCACUGGUCGAGUCGGCCUGCGCGGAAGAUGUAACGGGGCUAAACCAUGCACCGAAGCUGCGGCAGCGACACUAUGUGUUGUUGGGUAGGGGAGCGUUCUGUAAGCCUGCGAAGGUGUGCUGUGAGGCAUGCUGGAGGUAUCAGAAGUGCGAAUGCUGACAUAAGUAACGAUAAAGCGGGUGAAAAGCCCGCUCGCCGGAAGACCAAGGGUUCCUGUCCAACGUUAAUCGGGGCAGGGUGAGUCGACCCCUAAGGCGAGGCCGAAAGGCGUAGUCGAUGGGAAACAGGUUAAUAUUCCUGUACUUGGUGUUACUGCGAAGGGGGGACGGAGAAGGCUAUGUUAGCCGGGCGACGGUUGUCCCGGUUUAAGCAUGUAGGCUGAUUGUCCAGGCAAAUCCGGAUAAUCAAGGCUGAGGUGUGAUGACGAGGCACUACGGUGCUGAAGUAACAAAUGCCCUGCUUCCAGGAAAAGCCUCUAAGCAUCAGGUAACAUUAAAUCGUACCCCAAACCGACACAGGUGGUCAGGUAGAGAAUACCAAGGCGCUUGAGAGAACUCGGGUGAAGGAACUAGGCAAAAUGGUGCCGUAACUUCGGGAGAAGGCACGCUGGUGUGUAGGUGAAGCCCCUGCGGGUGGAGCUGAGACCAGUCGAAGAUACCAGCUGGCUGCAACUGUUUAUUAAAAACACAGCACUGUGCAAACACGAAAGUGGACGUAUACGGUGUGACGCCUGCCCGGUGCCGGAAGGUUAAUUGAUGGGGUUAUCCGUAAGGAGAAGCUCUUGAUCGAAGCCCCGGUAAACGGCGGCCGUAACUAUAACGGUCCUAAGGUAGCGAAAUUCCUUGUCGGGUAAGUUCCGACCUGCACGAAUGGCGUAAUGAUGGCCAGGCUGUCUCCACCCGAGACUCAGUGAAAUUGAACUCGCUGUGAAGAUGCAGUGUACCCGCGGCAAGACGGAAAGACCCCGUGAACCUUUACUAUAGCUUGACACUGAACAUUGAGCCUUGAUGUGUAGGAUAGGUGGGAGGCUUUGAAGCGUGGACGCCAGUCUGCGUGGAGCCAACCUUGAAAUACCACCCUUUAAUGUUUGAUGUUCUAACGUUGGCCCCUGACCGGGGUUGCGGACAGUGUCUGGUGGGUAGUUUGACUGGGGCGGUCUCCUCCCAAAGCGUAACGGAGGAGCACGAAGGUUAGCUAAUCCUGGUCGGACAUCAGGAGGUUAGUGCAAUGGCAUAAGCUAGCUUGACUGCGAGCGUGACGGCGCGAGCAGGUGCGAAAGCAGGUCAUAGUGAUCCGGUGGUUCUGAAUGGAAGGGCCAUCGCUCAACGGAUAAAAGGUACUCCGGGGAUAACAGGCUGAUACCGCCCAAGAGUUCAUAUCGACGGCGGUGUUUGGCACCUCGAUGUCGGCUCAUCACAUCCUGGGGCUGAAGUAGGUCCCAAGGGUAUGGCUGUUCGCCAUUUAAAGUGGUACGCGAGCUGGGUUUAGAACGUCGUGAGACAGUUCGGUCCCUAUCUGCCGUGGGCGCUGGAGAAUUGAGGGGGGCUGCUCCUAGUACGAGAGGACCGGAGUGGACGCAUCACUGGUGUUCGGGUUGUCAUGCCAAUGGCACUGCCCGGUAGCUAAAUGCGGAAGAGAUAAGUGCUGAAAGCAUCUAAGCACGAAACUUGCCCCGAGAUGAGUUCUCCCUGAGACUUUAAGUCUCCUGAAGGAACGUUAAAGACGAUGACGUUGAUAGGCCGGGUGUGUAAGCGCAGCGAUGCGUUGAGCUAACCGGUACUAAUGAACCGUGAGGCUUAACCUU